ACAGCCUGGGGCGGGGAGGGAGGGAAAUGGAUAGGAGCACUAGAGGACUACAAAUCCCAGGGUGCAGCACGUCCCACUGGGAUUCCGGGCUAGGUGUUAGUUUAGUGCUUCUAACCGGUUAGAAUCAAGAGCGAAACCGGGCCGGGAGCGGGGCGGGAUCCGCGCAGGAGCUGGGGAGUAGGGGAGGGAGAGCAGAGAGAAUGGAGCGAGAGGAGGCAGGUGAUAGACUAAGGCCAGAGGCUGGGAAAGACGGGAGAGGUAAAAACCUAGAAAUAGUCGUGGGCGUGGGGCUUGCGUCUUGACAAAAUCUGGGAAGGGCAAAUGAAGGGAUUUAUAAUUGGUGGAAGCUGCGAGAGGGCGGGGCUUAUCUAUUGGGCAAAGGCGGGGCAUAGGGGGCGGGGCUUAUCCUGAACCUGAGAAGACAAAAGAGAGAAUACAGUGGGGCGGGAUUUCCUUCUCGAAGGGUGUAGAGUAAAAAAGUUGAAGGGAAGCAUAGAAGAGGCAGGGUUUACUAAAGAUCGAGAAUGAAGAGGAGGCGAGCGUUAUUCUUUAUUAGAAUAGAGAGGAAAUUGACUGAUUGAAGAAAUGGGACUUAUUCCGGACAAACCGGAAAAGAGAGAAAGAGGACUAGAGCACAAAGAAAAGGGAAAAGGGCGGAGCUUAGCCUGAGACUCCCCGAAGGAAGGGUGGACGUGGGCGGGGCCUGUUCUCCGUCCGAUAAUCGGAGUGGAGUGGGUGCGCAAGCACGAGGAGGGGGCGGGGCCUUGGGGGUGGCUGUUGGCCGUUGGUGGUAUCGGGGGGCGGGCCCGAGUGUGCGGUGCUGCAGUUUGGUGAAACACACUUAGUGGAGAGAGAUGUAGCUGUGCCCUCGGCGGCGGCGGCCAUGUUCUCGGUGCUGGCGUACGGCUACCUGGUGGCCCGGACCCUGCUGGGCGGCCUCUUGCAGACCGACCCCUGGGCGGGCGGCGGUAGGGAUUACGGGCUGGUGACGGCCGGCUGCGGCUUCGGCAAGGACUUCCGCCAGGGCCUGCUCAAAAAGCGCGUCUGCUAUGGGGACGACGCCUGCUUCGUGUCCCGCCAUCGCUCCACCGACGUGCUGGGGUGAGUCGGGACUUAAUCGGUCCUCGCCAUCUCCAUCUUCCGCCCCGGGCCUUCCCCGGGCACGUUCGCGCCGGGCCCCGCAAGGUCAUCGGGAACGCGACCCCCGGCACCCGGCCAGUGCUUAAAGCCGCCCUGCCCCCGAGCAAGGCCCCGAGACGGCUGGCCGGAGACCUUGUCCAUCUGUCGGGCCACAGGUGUCUCGGGCCUAGGUCGGCUGCUCUUGGACCGUGUCCGGGCCGGGGCAGCCGCGGGGCCGCGGCGUGUCUGGCCGGCGUGGGCUCCUUAGAAGCGCCUUUCAAGUUUGCCAAGCAUUUUGCAUGCACUCUCUCUUGUGAGCUUCACAUUGGUCCUGUGACUUGGGACUGUCAGUGGGCUCAUCCCCACUGUUUGGAUGAGAGCUAAAGUGAUUUGUCCAUCUUGACAGUAGGAAGUUCUAGCCACCCAGGGCCCUUAUGGUUCAUGAGGACGGGCUUCUUCCCCUGCAUCAUCAUAUACACAGAGUAAAGAGAAGAAAGGUAAAUCUACUGGAAUACCAUAAUGGGACAAUGAGGUUGAGGAGGAUAAGAACUGCAGGUGACAGAAGCUUUAGAGCUAGCAUCUGUGGCUCCUAUUGCAGAGAGAAGCACUGCCAGUGUUCCAGGAGAAGUUGGCAUCCCUCCAAAGGUCUCCCCAGACAUCAGGACUGUAUUGAGAAAGCGAUUCAGUUCGAGAAAGUUUCAGGUAUACUUAUUUCAGUCAAGACAAGUUCUGAAAAACAAGUCUCAAAGAUGAAAAGGAUUAAUCUUGAACUGUCCAUGAAAAUUCAGCAACUUGGAUCUAACCACUUUGAAAAGGAACAAAAAAUUGAAAGACUUAACAAACUCCUGAAAGAUCAUGGACUUCUUGAAUAGCUGAACCAUGCAAUAUUUAUCUAACCACAUGGAGAGGAAACUUCUUAUUUGACAGAGUGGCCUUUGUACGUGUCAGUCAAACAUCCUGGGUAUCUCCAGGAUAAUUUCUGAAAAGAAUCUGAAGCUUUCACUUGUUCUCGGAUCUGAUCAUGUCCAGAUGUAACAUCAUUCCUUCUAAGAGCUAUAUUUUUUCCUUGAUGUGAUAAGACACUUCCCAUGAUAAGAAAUGUUUCAUAAGCUACAUUUUCUCAUUUUCCAAAUUCUAACCUUGUUUGAAUUUGAAUACUAUAACUCGAUGAGUUUGUGUAAAAAUUGAAUAAAAAAUUUUUAGUUUAUUUUUAA
Molecule: RNA transcript, 2333 nt
Organism: Antechinus flavipes (yellow-footed antechinus)
Lineage: Eukaryota; Metazoa; Chordata; Mammalia; Dasyuromorphia; Dasyuridae
Gene name: protein phosphatase PTC7 homolog
Exons: 4
Source: RefSeq, a predicted model, not a curated record